Molecule: ribosomal RNA, 456 nt
Filed under: uncultured Alphaproteobacteria bacterium
Lineage: Bacteria; Pseudomonadati; Pseudomonadota; Alphaproteobacteria
Description: partial 16S ribosomal RNA
Source: RNAcentral
CACGGAGUUAGCCGGUGCUUAUUCUCCGGGUACCGUCAUCAUCGUCCCCGGCAAAAGGGCUUUACAACCCGAAGGCCUUAUCACCCACGCGGCGUCGCUGGAUCAGGCUUGCGCCCAUUGUCCAAGAUUCCCCACUGCUGCCUCCCGUAGGAGUCUGGGCCGUGUCUCAGUCCCAGUGUGGCCGACCACCCUCUCAGGCCGGCUACGGAUCGCAGGCUUGGUAGGCCGUUACCCCACCAACUACCUAAUCCGACGCGGGCCCAUCCCAAGGCGAUAAAUCUUUGGCCUCUCGGCCAUAUCCGGUAUUAGCCGCAGUUUCCCGCGGUUGUUCCGAACCUCAGGGCAGGUUCCCACGCGUUACUCACCCGUGCGCCACUGAUGGGCCGAAGCCCACCCGUUCGACUUGCAUGUGUUAAGCGCGCCGCCAGCGUUCGUUCUGAGCCAGGAUCAAACUCU